This 74-nucleotide microRNA precursor is filed under the name Echinops telfairi (small Madagascar hedgehog). Its description in RNAcentral is "miRNA (ENSETEG00000025041.1)". Lineage: Eukaryota; Metazoa; Chordata; Mammalia; Afrosoricida; Tenrecidae. The record is from RNAcentral.
GGCAUCUUGUAAAAAGGCAUGUUGGGAUCCAGCAGAUCUUAGGGAGACUGGGAUUCUGCAUUUCUAACAAGUUC